AUGGGGUUCCCUGGUCUGCUGAGAGCUGUCAUAGCCUGCGUCCGCCUUGGUAAGGCUGCAAAAGACCAGCCAGAAAUCUCAAUGCUGGAGAAAGAAGAUGUAACUUUGGAUUGUGUCUAUGAAGCUAGUAGUUAUAGAUAUUAUUUAUUCUGGUACAAACAAACACCAAGUGGGGAAAUGAUUUUCCUUAUUCAUCAGGAGUCUUACAAUGAGUGAAUACAACAGAGGGUCGGUAGUUUUUGGGCUUCCAGAAAACGGCCAGUUCCAUCAGCCUCACCAUCACAGCCUUGCAGCUUGGGGACUCAGCGGUGUAUUUCUGUGCUCUGAGAGACCACAGUGAUGCAAGUCCCUGUGGGAACCCCACAGAAACCUCAGAUCUCAACGUGAGGUGUCCCCCAGCUAUGAAAACCUUAGUGAGAUUCUCGGUAAGGACAGGAGAAGGCAGCGGCCGUGUCAGCGGGACAGGGCAGUUAGAAGUGGAAACCUCACUCUAA
Non-coding RNA from Globicephala melas (long-finned pilot whale), 494 nucleotides. The record is from the annotation of a RefSeq genome assembly. Lineage: Eukaryota; Metazoa; Chordata; Mammalia; Artiodactyla; Delphinidae.